GACGAACGCUGGCGGCGUGCUUAACACAUGCAAGUCGAACGGAAAGGCCCUGCUUUUGUGGGGUGCUCGAGUGGCGAACGGGUGAGUAACACGUGAGUAACCUGCCCUUGACUUUGGGAUAACUUCAGGAAACUGGGGCUAAUACCGGAUAGGAGCUCCUGCUGCAUGGUGGGGGUUGGAAAGUUUCGGCGGUUGGGGAUGGACUCGCGGCUUAUCAGCUUGUUGGUGGGGUAGUGGCUUACCAAGGCUUUGACGGGUAGCCGGCCUGAGAGGGUGACCGGCCACAUUGGGACUGAGAUACGGCCCAGAGUCCUACGGGAGGCAGCAGUGGGGAAUUUUGCACAAUGGGCGGAAGCCUGAUGCAGCAACGCCGCGUGCGGGAUGACGGCCUUCGGGUUGUAAACCGCUUUCGCCUGUGACGAAGCGUGAGUGACGGUAAUGGGUAAAGAAGCACCGGCUAACUACGUG
Molecule: ribosomal RNA, 468 nt
Filed under: uncultured bacterium
Lineage: Bacteria
Description: partial 16S ribosomal RNA
Rfam family: Bacterial small subunit ribosomal RNA
Source: RNAcentral